UGCAGUCGAACGGCAGCACGGGGGCAACCCUGGUGGCGAGUGGCGAACGGGUGAGUAAUACAUCGGAACGUGCCCUGUAGUGGGGGAUAGCCCGGCGAAAGCCGGAUUAAUACCGCAUACGACCUACGGGUGAAAGCGGGGGACCGCAAGGCCUCGCGCUACUGGAGCGGCCGAUGCCCGAUUAGCUAGUUGGUGAGGUAAAGGCUCACCAAGGCGACGAUCGGUAGCUGGUCUGAGAGGACGACCAGCCACACUGGGACUGAGACACGGCCCAGACUCCUACGGGAGGCAGCAGUGGGGAAUUUUGGACAAUGGGCGCAAGCCUGAUCCAGCCAUGCCGCGUGCGGGAAGAAGGCCUUCGGGUUGUAAACCGCUUUUGGCAGGAACGAAACGGCGCGGGUGAAUAUCCCGCGCUAAUGACGGUACCUGCAGAAUAAGCACCGGCUAACUACGUGCCAGCAGCCGCGGUAAUACGUAGGGUGCGAGCGUUAAUCGGAAUUACUGGGCGUAAAGCGUACGCAGGCGGCUAUGCAAGACAGGUGUGAAAUCCCCGGGCUUAACCUGGGAACUGCAUUUGUGACUGCAUGGCUAGAGUCCGUUAGAGGGGGGUGGAAUUCCACGUGUAGCAGUGAAAUGCGUAGAGAUGUGGUGGAACACCGAUGGCGAAGGCAGCCCCCUGGGAUGAGACUGACGCUCAUGUACGAAAGCGCGGGGAGCAAACAGGAUUAGAUACCCUGGUAGUCCACGCCCUAAACGAUGUCGACUAGUUGUCGGGUCUUUACAGACUUGGUAACGCAGCUAACGCGUGAAGUCGACCGCCUGGGGAGUACGGUCGCAAGAUAAAACUCAAAGGAAUUGACGGGGACCCGCACAAGCGGUGGAUGAUGUGGAUUAAUUCGAUGCAACGCGAAAAACCUUACCUACCCUUGAC
RNAcentral lists this ribosomal RNA (931 nucleotides) under uncultured Oxalobacteraceae bacterium. RNAcentral's name for it is "bacterial SSU rRNA". It matches the Rfam family "Bacterial small subunit ribosomal RNA", at positions 56 to 985 of the family's 1533-position model. Lineage: Bacteria; Pseudomonadati; Pseudomonadota; Betaproteobacteria; Burkholderiales; Oxalobacteraceae. The record is from RNAcentral.